This is an RNA transcript of Nasonia vitripennis (jewel wasp), 3868 nucleotides long. It is a transcript of the gene named protein RUFY3, with no coding region annotated. The record is from RefSeq and is a predicted model, not a curated record. Lineage: Eukaryota; Metazoa; Arthropoda; Insecta; Hymenoptera; Pteromalidae. The transcript is spliced from 12 exons.
CGAGAAAAUCGAUAUCCCCGAGCGCCGGUGCAAGAGCGCCAUGUUCUGUUGUCGCAAAAUGUUUUCCACGCGCAAGCAUCGUCCUGCCGUCUGAUUAAGUUACACGCACCUAAAUAACAGUUUGCAUUGUUGUGAUAAUCGAGAAAACCAUCUGAAGCGCCGCUAUCGAACGGCGUAUCAAGAAUUAAGUGACACAGUACUCAGUUGACCGACGCAUUCCGUAUACAAUUCGACGGCAGUUUUGUCGUCUUACUGCCAUUUCACCUUUCCUGCGCACUACUAGAAAUAGACGUCUUCGCAUAGCUGUGUUGUGUCGUCAAGUGAAAGAUACCUUACCAAAGUAUUCGGACAACCGUAUUGACGUAGUACGAGUGAAGCAGAACUGCAAAAAUGGUUUUGAGAUAUCCUCUCCGCGCCUGAAAUAUAAUCAAGGUCACGCGAUACGCGACGAGUGCGAAAAACGCAUUGAGACGCAGUUGAUACAUCUGGUGGAUAAAUUUCGCCCAACAACGAGUGAAGAGAGCUUUUUUCAAACGCUCGCCAAGGCCAUAGAUGCGCCCGGAGUAUCCGGACGAUAACUUGCAAAGCGCGGCAGGUUGUCAAAAAUCCAACAUCAAGAUGUUGGACCAAGACAUGGCCGGUGCGCAGGACACCAUAUACCUGUGCAACUUUCGCGUGUCCGUCGACGGCGACUGGCUAUGUUUGAAGGAGCUGCAGGACGUCGAGUUCAGCUCGAUGCCCGAAACGAUGCAGCGCUCGCCCUCGCCACCCAUCGGCCUUAGCGGUAUACAGUGCGAUCUGCAGCAGCCUAGCCAUGAUGAUGCGCCAGAGCUUUGCGAUAUUCUUUCGUCACCCAUUCAGCACGUCUCUUGUUUGUCGCGCGAUCCAGUAAUUAUCGAACGGAGCAACCUGGUAAACAUCUCGAAACUUAUCGUCAAAGAACUCAUAGAAACAUCCCUCAAGUAUGGACGUAUGCUUGAUUCCGAUCACAUGCCUCUGCAGCACUUUUUUAUCGUCCUCGAACACGUACUCAGACAUGGUUUGCGUCCCAAAAAGGGAUUACUCGGCCCCAAGAAGGAGCUGUGGGAUAUUCUUCAGUUGGUCGAGAAGUAUUGUCCAGAAGCACAGGAUAUGACCUCGAGUAUCCGCGACUUACCUACUGUUAGGACAGCGAUGGGUAGAGCACGAGCAUGGUUGAGAAUGGCGUUGAUGCAGAAGAAGCUCGCAGACUACCUGAAAGUCCUGAUAGAUCACAAGGACGAUCUGCUGUCUGAGUAUUUUGAACCAGACGCACUGAUGAUGAGUGAGGAAGCGAUAGUGGUCAUGGGUCUACUGGUCGGACUGAAUGUGAUCGACUGUAACUUUUGCGUAAAGGAAGAAGACCUCGACUGUCAGCAAGGCGUAAUUGACUUCUCGUUGUACCUCAGGAACAGCAAUCAUAUUCCAGGAGAGUCGCCGGACGACGAGUUGGAGAACGAUAACAUGACAACAGUGCUCGAUCAAAAGAAUUACAUAGAGGAGCUCAACAGACAUCUGAACGCUACGGUUCAGAAUCUCCAAGCUAAAGUUGAAUCUCUCACCACAACAAAUGCCUUAAUGAUAGAAGAUUUGUCGAUAGCAAAAAAUAACAUUCUCUCCCUUCAUUAUGAGAACCAGCAGCUCAAAAAAGAAUUAGGCAUAGAAGUCAAAGACACAAACGAGAGCGGAAAAGCGCCAAUCAAAAUUACGGAAACAACUUCAGAAAUGGAGGAAUUAAGAAGUAGACUAGAAACGGAGAAGAGGCUAAGGAGCGAAGCGGAAAAAGAGUUGGAAUUACAGAUAAGCAUGAAGUCUGAAAUGGAAGUUGCAAUGAAACUCCUGGAAAAGGAUAUUCACGAGAAGCAGGAUACUAUUAUAUCACUACGGCGACAACUGGACGAUAUUAAGCAAAUUAACCUGGAAAUGUACAAAAAAUUACAGGAGUGCGAGCAGGAGUUGACGCAGAAAGGUGAGAUGGUAAGCAGGCUGCACGCCAAGACGAAUCAGAUAGGCAAACUACUCAACAAUCUGGAGAAGUUCAAUCACUACAUGAAGGACGGCGAGGGUGGCCGCAGCCCUACAGGUUACAAGGCCAUCAUGAACAGAUCGAGCCCUACGACCCCAAGGGAUCAGCAGCCACCCAUGCGACCGAGGUCUAUGUUUGAUACAACGGACACGAUAAAACCCCAGCCAAAACCCGCAACGACGCCGUCGGGGAACAAGCGAAUCACUGGUCCACCUGAGUCGAAGCAACCGUCACCUAAGGAGAACAAAGAAGCCGCUGCCGCGCCAGCUGAUUAAAUCGCUUCAUCUUGCUCUAUCUCUUUUUUCCUUUUCUUUUCUUGUAAAAGUGUCUGCUCUGCUUUGAUCGAGACAAGUCAGUGACCGGAUUCAUUAUAUUGCACCCCUAAUUGGAGAAGCCGAAGCAAUGUUUUCUAUUGAUUUGUAUGAUUUCGAAAUUGUUUACAAUACCUGAUGCAUACUUAUACGAAUCGAUUGUUCUGCGACAGUCGCGGGCGUCAAUUAUUGGGCAAUUGAACUAAUUCGAUUAUGCAUAAAAAAUUUCAAUGAUCAUGUUAUUGCAUUUUGAUGUACUUAUGAUAAACAUCUUCUGCAGUCAAAACCUUAACGCCUAUGUAAUGCUAUCAUAGUGUAUAAGCUAAGCAGUCGAAAUUUAUGAUUUGUCAGAUUUUAGAAAAUAUUGUUUGUGAUAACUCAGCGUAUACUUUGGCUUUCAUUUUCAAUUGCACAAUUUAUUAACGAGAUGGAACGAAUUUCAGGAAUGCGAGAGUUCACUUAGGCAUAAAACUGAACUGAUAGCUAAAUUGGAAGCAAAAACUUAUUCAAUGACUGAAACCAUCCAGAGGAUGGACGAAAAGUACAAGGCGAUGGAGGACGUGCGUUCGGGCGUGGAGGAGCGGGUGCGGGUGCUGGGAGCCGAGGCAGCGGAGAAGGAGGCUCGCGCCACGGGAAUCGAGCGCGAGCUCAAGAUCGAGCGCGAGUGGAGGACGUCCCUGCAGGAGUCGUCGAUCAACAGCACCGAGAAGAUCUCCCAGCUUCACCAGGAGAUCGACCACCUGCGGAAGGAGUCCGAGAAGUACAAGAGCCUGCAGGAGGAGCACUACGCGCUGAAGGAGAUCUGCCAAGAGCAGGAGAAGACGCUCGAGGAGUUGGGCGGUCAGCUGAGCGCGGCAAAACUCGCGGCGGUGGAGCUGCGCGAGAACGCGGCGCACCUGCAGGGCUGCAGCCCGGGUCAGUCGUCGCAGCAGCCGCAUCCACCUGACGGCACGGGCACGGCCACCUGGGCCAACGACCGGAUGGUCACUCAGUGCAAGGGCUGCAGCAGGGAAUUCAACAUUGCUCGACGCAAGCACCACUGUCGCAACUGCGGUAACAUCUUCUGCAACGCCUGCAGCGACAACACCAUAGCCUUGCCGAACUCGACCAAGCCGGUCCGAGUCUGCGACGAGUGCCACGUCUUUCUGGUCGGACGUUACUCCGUGGUGCACUAGCUACGCGCUGUGCCGAUUUUACGACAUUCACGAGACAGCGACAUCACUUUGGAAGCAUAUGGUAACGCCCAAGCGCGUUGCGUAGUUCGAAGCGCUUUUGCGAUGAUUGUUACAUAUAGUACAAGGAGCUUUGCUUCCCCCAUUCGAAUGAGCAUUUUUCUAUUUACGAACUCGCACACAGAGUUCUAUGUUGAAUUUGAACAAAGAGAGAUAUAUGAUUAUUUUAAGACAAUGAAUUAACUAUACUACUACUAUAUGCUGAUAUUUUCGCCUGAAUGAUAUAUAUUAUUGUUACUUAUAAGUUUACACUACAUCACAUACAAAAUAUGCAGAUCUUG